This 218-nucleotide ribosomal RNA is filed under the name uncultured bacterium. Its description in RNAcentral is "partial 16S ribosomal RNA". It matches the Rfam family "Bacterial small subunit ribosomal RNA", at positions 524 to 737 of the family's 1533-position model. The record is from RNAcentral.
UACGUAGGUGGCAAGCGUUGUCCGGAUUUAUUGGGUUUAAAGGGUGCGUAGGCGGUCUUCUAAGUCAGUUUGUGAAAUACUUCAGCUUAACUGGAGAGGUGCAAUUUGAUACUGGGGAGACUUGAGUACUGAUGAGGUAGGCGGAAUGGACGGUGUAGCGGUGAAAUGCUUAGAUAUCGUCCAGAACACCGAUAGCGAAAGGCAGCUUACUAAAGGAG